Molecule: ribosomal RNA, 450 nt
Filed under: uncultured prokaryote
Description: bacterial SSU rRNA
Rfam family: Bacterial small subunit ribosomal RNA
Source: RNAcentral
UGGGGAAUAUUGGACAAUGGGGGCAACCCUGAUCCAGCCAUGCCGCGUGUGUGAAGAAGGCCUUCGGGUUGUAAAGCACUUUCAGAAGGGAAGAAAAGCCCGGGGCUAAUACCCCGUGGGUCUUGACGGUACCUUCAGAAGAAGCACCGGCUAACUCCGUGCCAGCAGCCGCGGUAAUACGGAGGGUGCAAGCGUUAAUCGGAAUUACUGGGCGUAAAGCGCGCGUAGGUGGUUUGGUAAGUCGGGUGUGAAAGCCCCGGGCUCAACCUGGGAAUUGCACUCGAUACUGCCUGGCUAGAGUGUGGUAGAGGGAAGUGGAAUUCCGCAUGUAGCGGUGAAAUGCGUAGAGAUGCGGAGGAACACCAAUGGCGAAGGCAACUUCCUGGACCAACACUGACACUGAGGUGCGAAAGCGUGGGUAGCAAACAGGAUUAGAUACCCGCGUAGUCC